CACAAUAAUUACGUAUAAAUGCUUACGUACAGAGAAUGUGAGAUGACGUCAGGCUGCGCCGGAAGGAUAGUUCUCUGCUGGAGUUACUGGUUUUUAUGCCCCCCUGUUCAAUUUUUUGUCUGAACGUUGAAAUCUUUAUGUACACUGAAUUAAAUAGAAAGUGUUAUCUACUGGGAAAAGCUGUUAUCGCAAAACAACAGUUUUUGAAAAAAUGAAAGACUAUAUAGCGACACGUACGCGAGUUGGCAGCCCAAUGGAUAACAGACUUGACGUAAGUUACCGCCUCCAACGUUACUGGGAUACUCGGACAUUUCGCGUUUUUAUUUGAGAUGUGUUGAUAUAAUUCUCCUUAUCACGAUUUUAACGCUUUAAGCAAACAAUAAACUAAGUAGAUUCUUUCAUGCAAUAUGCAUGACGUUAGUUUCACACUCUCGCGUUGUAGCAUAAUUUUUAAUAAUCACUUGUAGUAAAAUCAUGUUUCUUACAGAACAUUAGUAAGUUAGACAUACAAUAUUGUCAUAUGCAAUAAGGAAUAACAUAUAUAAAAAUGGUUAGUUAAGGUUCGUUAUGGAACUUUAGUAGAGAAAUCUGCAUGUAUGUUUGGGGGUUGUAUAAUAUUUAACUUAUGUUAUCAGGUACGCAUUUUUCCCCUUCGCUUUGCUUGGACAACUUCCGGUCACGGUAUUUCUCCUUUUGCAUCUCCUGCGCACUGUGUGCUGUGCAAAGAAAUAUAGCGGUAAUCAAUUCAUCCAUCCAUCCAACAGUUUGUUAGGUGAUAUUGCAUACAAAGUAAACUAUUAUAAUUUUAGUAUGUGUAUAGUUGCAUGGUCACAUGUAGUUUCCCGUUUAACGCGAAAAUCUUUCAAAUUUUAUAAUGUAUUAAAGUGUCUGCAGCAUGUGCUAAUGUUAUUCCUUACACUAAGUACUGUACUGUGUAAAUGUAAGAUAUUUAAUCCACCAGUUCAUAAUACACUUGAAAAAGCUCAGUUAACUCGUAUAGCUCCUUACCAUCUUGAAACAGCUUGGACCAGCUUUGACAUGUUUAAUUUAAGUUAUUGAAGUAACCUUAAAACAGCACCACACCAGCAACGUUAAUCAGCAUGAAAAUUGUAUUGAUCUAUGCUAUUUUGUAGAAGCAUAACAAUAUAACAUUGCAUUGAAUGAUUUUUACAGGUGUUCUCAUGCGGAUGCCUGGAUCAACUUUCAAAAAAUGUAAAUCAUACAAUGUCCAAAUUUCUGUGGCUUGCAAAACCUGCAAACACUGCAGACAAAAGCAAGAAACGAAAAAAGCAAUGCAAGUUGCCAAACAAAAAAUAAAUGAGCAAUGGAAAGUUGCAAAUAAUUUCUGUAAACUUGUAAAUUCUGGGUGUACAUGUUCUGAAAUCUUUCUUGUCACAUACAUUACCUAUUUCACAGCAGAGGACUGCAGUGCUGCUGUACAAACCUCUUCUGCAGCAGCCAAUGUCCCUCAUCUGCCUGUCGCACAAUCACUUAAAGGUCCAAAAGACUCCAGUGCUGCUGUACAAACCUCUUCUGCUGCAGCCAAUGUCCCUCAUCUGUCUGUCUCACAAUCACUUAAAGGUAACACUUACGCCGGUUUCACACCGCAAGCAUGUGCAGCGCGUAUCCGUAGCGUGAGCAGUUCGUGAGGAGAGCGUUUGCUGCGCGUGUCCAUUGUGCUAUCACAACGGCUGCGUUUGCAGCACAUACUGUGCAGUUUAAUAACAGUAUAAAAAUCUCAACUUCUCAUUACUUUAUUUUACAUGCAUUAAUCAGCAAAACCUCUUCAAGAUACUUUUUGAUGGUCAGUGUAAUUUAUGUAACUGUGAUUUGUUUAACCCACAUUGUUUUCGUGCUGUUCUGGUCCGUGUAAUGACAGAUAUAGAUACACAAUUAUAAACAUAAAAAGCCCAUGGCACAUUAUUAAAUCUGUAUCUCUGAAGUUUUACGAUAAAAUAAAAAAAUCACUCAGUGAUUGACAGCAUGAAGUAGUCGAUCGUGUUUCCCUUCAACAGUUUAAGCAUAGAUUUAUAGAUGUAUCUAUUUCUCUGAAGAUUUUAGAUGAGGGCUCAUUUAGUGCUGGGCAGACAGUGAAUGACAGCGAUCUUCUGGUGUUUUUAAAGGUGCCCUUCCUCUGGCGUUUUUAUUGUUUUAGACUGUUGUCUGAGGUCUACUCAUGACGUUUGCAUGGUUUUUACAUCCAAAAACAUCAAAGCAAUAAGUAAUAGGCCAUUUUGUACCCUGAUUUUGAGGCUGGUUAGAGAAGUGAUCCGUUUUAAUGGGCGGGCUGCUUUGACGACUUGGAUGUAAACGCCCACUGCUAUGAUUGGAUAACAGUUUAUCGUUCAAACUAACUUUCAAUUUAAUCUCAUGUGUAAUCAGUUUAAUGUUAAGUGAGUGUCUUAAGACACAGUGUCUUUCUUACACACGCAUAUUUUAUCAUAAACCCUUUUGACACACACACGCGUGUCUUUUAUCGUAAACCCACGCACAAAAAAACACAUGUGUCUUUUAUCGUAAACCCUUUCGAUGCGCGUGUAGCAGCGCCCCCCCCCCCCCACACACACACACACACGUCUUUUACAUAAACCCUUCGACACGCGUGUAACGAAUGCACAAACACACACAUGUGUUUUUUAUCACAUUCAAUGCGUGUGCAUCAUGAAUUCGCGUGAAUCGCGUCCCUCUGAAGAGAAAUCCUGGCCGCAACUGAUAGUGACACAUAGUACUAAAGUGUUUUACUCACACAAACACGCUUGUCUUCUAUUAUAAACCCUUUCAAAGCGUGUGCAGCAUGAAUUCUCGUCCAUCGGAUUUGGAAGAGAAUAUACCGGCCGCCACAGUGACACAUAGUACUAAAGUGUUUUACUCACACAAACACGCUUGUCUUCUAGUCAUAAACCCUUUCAAAGUAGCCUGG
Non-coding RNA from Misgurnus anguillicaudatus (oriental weatherfish), 2920 nucleotides. Lineage: Eukaryota; Metazoa; Chordata; Actinopteri; Cypriniformes; Cobitidae. The record is from RefSeq and is a predicted model, not a curated record.